Molecule: non-coding RNA, 75 nt
Organism: Parelaphostrongylus tenuis
Lineage: Eukaryota; Metazoa; Nematoda; Chromadorea; Rhabditida; Metastrongylidae
Source: the annotation of a GenBank genome assembly
GCGUCAGUAGUGCAACUGGUUAAAACACGCGCUCCCGGAUAGAGUGAAGUGUGGGUUCGAGUCCUGCCUGACGCA